GCAGGAGAAUUGCAUCUAGAAAUUUGUUUAAAAGAUCUCCAGGAUGAUUUUAUGAACGGUGCUG
RNAcentral lists this transfer RNA (64 nucleotides) under Proteomonas sulcata. Lineage: Eukaryota; Cryptophyceae; Pyrenomonadales; Geminigeraceae. The record is from RNAcentral.